UAGGUGAACAUAGUUUAUAAAAAAUGUUAGUUCGUGACUCUAACGAAAAGAGAUAAAACUCUUUGUCCACCGG
Molecule: transfer RNA, 73 nt
Filed under: Uroplatus henkeli
Lineage: Eukaryota; Metazoa; Chordata; Lepidosauria; Squamata; Gekkonidae
Description: tRNA-His
Source: RNAcentral